GGCGGUAUGCUUAACACAUGCAAGUCGAACGGAAACGAAACUAGCUUGCUAGUAGGCGUCGAGUGGCGGACGGGUGAGUAACGCGUAGGAAUCUGCCUGAUAGUGGGGGAUAGCCCGAAGAAAUUCGGAUUAAUACCGCAUAAUCUAUUCGUAGUAAAGUGGGGGACUUUCGAGCCUCACGCUAUCAGAUGAGCCUGCGUAAGAUUAGCUUGUUGGUAGGGUAAAAGCCUACCAAGGCAACGAUCUUUAGCUGGUCUGAGAGGAUGAUCAGCCACAUCGGGACUGAGACACGGCCCGAACUCCUACGGGAGGCAGCAGUGGGGAAUAUUGGACAAUGGGGGCAACCCUGAUCCAGCAAUACCGCGUGUGUGAAGAAGGCCUGAGGGUUGUAAAGCACUUUCAAUUGUGAAGAAAAGUUAACGGUUAAUAACCGUUAACCUUGACGUUAACUUUAGAAGAAGCACCGGCUAACUCCGUGCCAGCAGCCGCGGUAAUACGGAGGGUGCAAGCGUUAAUCGGAAUUACUGGGCGUAAAGCGUGCGUAGGCGGUUUAUUAAGUCAGAUGUGAAAGCCCCGGGCUUAACCUGGGAACUGCAUUUGAAACUGGUCAACUAGAGUAUGGUAGAGGAAAGUGGAAUUUCUGGUGUAGCGGUGAAAUGCGUAGAUAUCAGAAGGAACAUCAAUGGCGAAGGCAGCUUUCUGGACCAAUACUGACGCUGAGGUACGAAAGCGUGGGUAGCAAACAGGAUUAGAUACCCUGGUAGUCCACGCCGUAAACGAUGAUAACUAGCCGUUGGGGGGAUUUACCCCUUAGUGGCGAAGCUAACGCGUUAAGUUAUCCGCCUGGGGAGUACGGCCCCGCAAGCUAAACAUACAAAGUA
RNAcentral lists this ribosomal RNA (881 nucleotides) under gamma proteobacterium SCGC AAA007-O20. RNAcentral describes it as "SSU rRNA". It matches the Rfam family "Bacterial small subunit ribosomal RNA", at positions 38 to 908 of the family's 1533-position model. The record is from RNAcentral. Lineage: Bacteria; Pseudomonadati; Pseudomonadota; Gammaproteobacteria.